Molecule: microRNA precursor, 84 nt
Filed under: Aotus nancymaae (Ma's night monkey)
Lineage: Eukaryota; Metazoa; Chordata; Mammalia; Primates; Aotidae
Description: microRNA 505 (ENSANAG00000012270.1)
Rfam family: mir-505 microRNA precursor family
Source: RNAcentral
GAUGCACCCAGAGGGGGAGCCAGGAAGUAUUGAUGUUUCUGCCAGUUUAGCGUCAACACUUGCUGGUUUCCUCUCUGGAGCAUC